This 101-nucleotide transfer RNA is filed under the name Periconia digitata. Its description in RNAcentral is "tRNA-Leu". It matches the Rfam family "tRNA". Rfam says of the family: Transfer RNA (tRNA) molecules are approximately 80 nucleotides in length. Their secondary structure includes four short double-helical elements and three loops (D, anti-codon, and T loops). Lineage: Eukaryota; Fungi; Ascomycota; Dothideomycetes; Pleosporales; Periconiaceae. The record is from RNAcentral.
CGGUGAGAUGGCCGAGUUGGUUAUGGCGCCAGGUUAAGGUUCAUCUUAACACUAAUUCCUGGUCACGAAAGUGGCGUGGGUUCAAGUCCCACUCUCAUCAU